UAGUAUUCAACCCGCAGUCCUUUCUUAAGUGAGAAAACGUUUCGUUUAAACAUUUUACAAAUAAAUCCUUAUAGUUUACCGUAUUCAACCCACGGUCCUUUCUAAAUUGAAAAAAAGCACGCCAGAAAACACACACGAGAACGGGCUCUCCUCUCCCUCGCCUCCCGAUCCCAACCGCCAGGCGCUCGAUCUGGUGCCGCGCCGGCCAUCUGGGCGCGGCGUCGAUGGAUCUGGCGGCGGGUGCGGCAUCUUGCUCCGCUGGCGACGGUGUCCUGCUGAUGCAAAGAGACCAGGGCGUGAGGAAGAGAGGAAGAAAGGAGAAGGGGCACAAGGUGAGGGAGGCGGUCGCCGGCGGCGGCGGCUCCGGUGACCGGCUGGAGGGAAGGGAGAGGAACUCCUGUUGAGGCGGCGCGGCUUGGUGCACGCUGGUUUCUCCGGAUCGACCCCCUACUCAGAUCUGCACGCCCCUGAUGAUUGGAGGUGUGCCUUUCACAUGUUCGUUGAGUUGCAGCAACAAGGACAGAUGGCCAUCUUCACAGGUUAUGCCCCUUACUGUAAUUUGCAUUCAGUUAUGUGCAGUAAUAAUGCCAUAUUUGUUAGCCUGCUAGCUGUUUCCAGAUUUUUUUAGACAUGAUUGACUGCUUCUACACAAAAGGAGUUUGUCGAAAAUAAGAGCAAUCCCAUUGUUGCUACAGAGCCCGAAGAUUCUUUGCCUUUCUUUGAACUGUUUGAGUUUUUUCUUUCAUAUGGCUACAAUUAUUUGAUUGGUCCAUGUAGAUUUAGGCAACAUGAGAUGAGCCGAUGAUAUAUAUUGUAAUAUACGAUGUCUAUUGCUACAAGUGUUGAUGUCUUGGUGAUGGCAGGUUUUGCAAGUAAUUGAAAUGCUUUUUGAGUAGAGGAUAAUUAGAGAUAUAAUGUUCUACCUGAUCUUGAGGUAAUGAUUAUUGAUAGCUAAUGACAUGAGGGAGAGGGGGACAAGCCCCUUUAGCUACUGCAAUGUGGUUGUGCAUACAAAUGUGCUACUCAUAUUCCACUGUUAGACGAGCUAGGCGCGAGAAGCAGGUUCAGAAUUCAGCUCCAUUUGAUUUACAUUUAGAUCAUCUUGCUGCAACACCAUCACUUUUCUUGAUAGCAAACAACAAUUUUUAGUAAUCAUUUAUAGCUUUUCUUUGGUUUGUUUAUUCUAUUAUACCAUAGAUAUCAUGAGAAACUGUUAAUCGCUUAAGGAGGGUGUUCUGUUCACUCAAAAUCAACUGCCUAAUGGUCUGAUUAGUUUAUGUAUGUGAAAAUUUAUUUUAAUAAUUAUAGUUGCAAUUUCCAGUCAAGGCAUAUGUUCUUUUAUACUUUUAUAGUGAGUCUACAAUAGGUUGAAUAGAUUCGAUUUCUAUUUCCUUUCCUUGUCGUCGUCCACUUAGGUUAUAAGGGGAGCCAGAGAGGUGAGGGAGGUGACCAAAGCGGCAGCGGCCUUGGGGUGCCGAAGAAGAGAGCGUAGGAGGAUGGAAAGGGGCUCUUAUACGACGGCUGGAAGAGAACUAUGCUCUCCUAAACCUGAAUGGGCCAAAAGUGACAAGACAGACAGAUCUGGCAGUCAAUUAUUCUUCAGUUUCGGUUGUGAUGUUUCAACAUGAGUUCAGAGCGUUAAUGCUUUGCUGAUGCGAGGAGGUGAAGUUGUAUGCUACCAGAGUGCAGAUAUUUCUUGGUAUGUUUGCUUUCAAGAAAAGAUGGAUGUGUGUUGUGACUGUGACAGAUGGUUCUACUGGAUAUGUUGUUGGGUUUAUAACAAGAAGCAUUGG
Molecule: long non-coding RNA, 1793 nt
Organism: Triticum dicoccoides
Lineage: Eukaryota; Viridiplantae; Streptophyta; Magnoliopsida; Poales; Poaceae
Exons: 4
Source: RefSeq, a predicted model, not a curated record